RNAcentral lists this ribosomal RNA (840 nucleotides) under Bacillus pumilus. Its description in RNAcentral is "bacterial SSU rRNA". It matches the Rfam family "Bacterial small subunit ribosomal RNA", at positions 97 to 922 of the family's 1533-position model. Lineage: Bacteria; Bacillati; Bacillota; Bacilli; Caryophanales; Bacillaceae. The record is from RNAcentral.
GGCGGACGGGUGAGUAACACGUGGGUAACCUGCCUGUAAGACUGGGAUAACUCCGGGAAACCGGAGCUAAUACCGGAUAGUUCCUUGAACCGCAUGGUUCAAGGAUGAAAGACGGUUUCGGCUGUCACUUACAGAUGGACCCGCGGCGCAUUAGCUAGUUGGUGAGGUAACGGCUCACCAAGGCGACGAUGCGUAGCCGACCUGAGAGGGUGAUCGGCCACACUGGGACUGAGACACGGCCCAGACUCCUACGGGAGGCAGCAGUAGGGAAUCUUCCGCAAUGGACGAAAGUCUGACGGAGCAACGCCGCGUGAGUGAUGAAGGUUUUCGGAUCGUAAAGCUCUGUUGUUAGGGAAGAACAAGUGCAAGAGUAACUGCUUGCACCUUGACGGUACCUAACCAGAAAGCCACGGCUAACUACGUGCCAGCAGCCGCGGUAAUACGUAGGUGGCAAGCGUUGUCCGGAAUUAUUGGGCGUAAAGGGCUCGCAGGCGGUUUCUUAAGUCUGAUGUGAAAGCCCCCGGCUCAACCGGGGAGGGUCAUUGGAAACUGGGAAACUUGAGUGCAGAAGAGGAGAGUGGAAUUCCACGUGUAGCGGUGAAAUGCGUAGAGAUGUGGAGGAACACCAGUGGCGAAGGCGACUCUCUGGUCUGUAACUGACGCUGAGGAGCGAAAGCGUGGGGAGCGAACAGGAUUAGAUACCCUGGUAGUCCACGCCGUAAACGAUGAGUGCUAAGUGUUAGGGGUUUCCGCCCCUUAGUGCUGCAGCUAACGCAUUAAGCACUCCGCCUGGGGGAGUACCGGUCGCAGACUGAAACUCAAUGAAUUUGACGGGGGGCC